This 593-nucleotide ribosomal RNA is filed under the name uncultured bacterium. RNAcentral describes it as "bacterial SSU rRNA". It matches the Rfam family "Bacterial small subunit ribosomal RNA", at positions 71 to 680 of the family's 1533-position model. The record is from RNAcentral.
AAAGGCCCUUCGGGGUACUCGAGCGGCGAACGGGUGAGUAACACGUGAGUAACCUGCCCUUGGCUCUGGGAUAGCUCCGGGAAACCGGAAUUAAUACCGGAUAUGACUUCGGCCGACAUCGGCUGCGGUGGAAAGAUUUAUCGGCCAGGGAUGGGCUCGCGGCCUAUCAGCUUGUUGGUGGGGUAACGGCCUACCAAGGCGACGACGGGUAGCCGGCCUGAGAGGGCGACCGGCCACACUGGGACUGAGACACGGCCCAGACUCCUACGGGAGGCAGCAGUGGGGAAUAUUGCGCAAUGGGCGAAAGCCUGACGCAGCGACGCCGCGUGGGGGAUGAAGGCCUUCGGGUUGUAAACCCCUUUCGGCAGGGACGAAGCGAAAGUGACGGUACCUGCAGAAGAAGCGCCGGCUAACUACGUGCCAGCAGCCGCGGUAACACGUAGGGCGCAAGCGUUGUCCGGAAUCAUUGGGCGUAAAGAGCUCGUAGGUGGUUUGUCACGUCUGCUGUGAAAACUCGGGGCUUAACCCCGAGCUUGCAGUGGAUACGGGCAGACUAGAGGUAGGUAGGGGAGAAUGGAAUUCCCGGUGUAGCG